RNAcentral lists this ribosomal RNA (614 nucleotides) under uncultured Lachnospiraceae bacterium. RNAcentral's name for it is "bacterial SSU rRNA". It matches the Rfam family "Bacterial small subunit ribosomal RNA", at positions 76 to 703 of the family's 1533-position model. Lineage: Bacteria; Bacillati; Bacillota; Clostridia; Lachnospirales; Lachnospiraceae. The record is from RNAcentral.
UUCGGCAGAUUUGGUUUAAUCCUAGUGGCGGACGGGUGAGUAACGCGUGGGUAACCUGCCUUAUACAGGGGGAUAACAGUCAGAAAUGGCUGCUAAUACCGCAUAAGCGCACAGGGCCGCAUGGCCCGGUGUGAAAAACUGAGGUGGUAUAAGAUGGACCCGCGUUGGAUUAGCCAGUUGGCAGGGUAACGGCCUACCAAAGCGACGAUCCAUAGCCGGCCUGAGAGGGUGAACGGCCACAUUGGGACUGAGACACGGCCCAGACUCCUACGGGAGGCAGCAGUGGGGAAUAUUGCACAAUGGGGGAAACCCUGAUGCAGCGACGCCGCGUGAAGGAAGAAGUAUCUCGGUAUGUAAACUUCUAUCAGCAGGGAAGAAAAUGACGGUACCUGACUAAGAAGCCCCGGCUAACUACGUGCCAGCAGCCGCGGUAAUACGUAGGGGGCAAGCGUUAUCCGGAUUUACUGGGUGUAAAGGGAGCGCAGGCGGGACUGCAAGUUGGAUGUGAAAUACCGUGGCUUAACCACGGAACUGCAUCCAAAACUGUAGUUCUUGAGUGAAGUAGAGGCAAGCGGAAUUCCGAGUGUAGCGGUGAAAUGCGUAGAUAUUCGGAG